Long non-coding RNA from Empidonax traillii (willow flycatcher), 2847 nucleotides. RefSeq lists it as uncharacterized. The record is from RefSeq and is a predicted model, not a curated record. Lineage: Eukaryota; Metazoa; Chordata; Aves; Passeriformes; Tyrannidae. The transcript has 2 exons.
AUGUAAAGUAGAAGUCUUUCAAUGCAAAACUAUAUUUACUUGGGGGCAGGAGGCUGUUACUAUUAAGCAGUUGUAAACUUGCCACCUUGGGUUGAGUAUCAGUAUCAGCUAUAACUGAAUUUUGUGUUCAUGGCUUGCUGAUUAUCAGAAUAUAAACUAGAAGAAGAAAAGACUGGUAAUGUGGGCUUGCUACAAUCUGCUGUAGCCCAGGAAGAAUCUGGAGACUGCAGAAAGCUGGGAAAGACAGAAAAGCUGUUGAGUGGUAGCGUACCUUAAGAAAGACUUGCCAUUAAGUGGGGUACCCCAAUAUUUGGAAGGGCAUAAUGAGAAUUUUCUGCCUGCCCCCUGAAUUCCUCCCACCACAGAUCAUGGAGCACUCCCUGCUCACAAUGCAUUAAUUGCAAAUUAACUUCAGACCCAUAGAAUGGAGGACAAAAGCUGCAACAACUUUGAGGUGCUGCAUGAAAGGAUGUGAGUGAUUAAGAGCACCCUUGGUGUUCCAGGUCCUGGCUGGGGAACUUUUUAUUAUAAACCCCUGAGAUUAUUCUAAGAAACAGACUGUAACCCACCUCCCUGUGAAGCCCAAAUAUAUUGCUCUGUGUUGUGAUGCUGUGAUGUCUGACAAGAUACACUGACUCCCAGGAGGCUGGGAAGAAGUAAGAAGUAGUUUGCUGAGACUGUAACAGGCACCUGAUCUGCUGGUUGUGGGGGACUCAUGGUGGUGCGGAGGUGGGGAUACAAACCAACCAGUUCAUCAAAUGAAGACAGGAUCCCCAUCUCUCUGUUUAGUCCUAUCUGGGUUGUCCCAUCUGAGAGGCAUUAAUUUGGAGAGCUGAGCUGUGAUGGCUAACGUUGUCAACAAGAAAUGCUCCUGCAUUUAGGUUGGCUAUAGGGCCAAGAGACUCUGCUCCCAGUUCAGUGCAUGGCAAAGCUCCUACUACUGCUGUCAGCUGCUGUCUUACAGCAGUAGAAUGAGCUUUUGGAAAUCUUGACCUACCUCUGCCACUCAGCUUGUCUUCUAAGACCACAGGCCUCCCUUUUUUUUCACUGUGCACCUGUCUCCUCACAACCUCAGAUCACCUCUUCCUUCCAUUUUGAGCAUUUAAUUGAAUAUGGCUAUUUAGUGAUUAAAAAUCACAGUGGGAAACUGGAACUGUCCCUCUGUUAACUCUUAAUAUUCUGGCAUUUAUCUCACUUCCAGCUAGUCAUGAAGGGAAAGACUAAGAACAGGAUCAGGCAGGCAAAAAAGAUGGCCAGUGCCUAGCUCCUGAUGUAUGGUCAUUUUGUGCUGAAUGGAGAAUCCAUGCUGUCUGAUAAUUGUGCUGGCCAAAGCCCAAAUUUUUUGGUUCCCUAUCAUGGGGAAGAGAAUGGAUGAAGAACCAGAGGAACCUAGGGUUUGAAUUUUGGCUGGGUCCCGUUUGCUGCUCCCAUCAACAGUGCCCCAAGUGCUAAUUAUAAUUUCCUUAUUCUGCUUUGGUCAGGGCAUAUGACAAAGUGGGGUGAAAGCCAAAAAUAAGCAGCCCUCAGAAUAGCCCUCUCCACAUCUCCCUGCUAAUGUCAUCUCUGAAGAAGACUGCUUGUUCCCCUUCAGAUGAGCUUUCAGAGGUUAUUUUAAUCCAUUUUUAGUGGCAAACAGCAUUUAUCAGAAUAAGUGUGGGCUGGUCUCCAGCUCCUUCAGAUCUCUGACAGCCUGGAGGGGAAAGUCUCUGAAAAAUAACUGAGUGUGCUUCUACUGCAUGUUGCCCUGCCCAGGGGAUUUUGGGGACAUAAUAAGGAAACAUUCAUCUGAUGGACCAGAGCCCAGGAACCAGUGCUUUGCUAAAACCAGCAAUUCCCCUGUCAUCAGCUCCUGUUCCCAGGAUUCAGAGCUCUUGUUCUUGUCAUCAGUGUGGAUGUUUUCAGAUUCAAUUUAGCAAUCAUUAGGAGGCAAGAAGCAAGGUUGGAAAAAAGGUUAGAGAGGCACUCAUUUCUGAGUCACUGCUUAGAACAUGACCCCCGCUAACUGUGUUCAAAAAUUGUCACUGACAGUCAUCUCAUGGCCACUCGGUGGUCUCCGAUGUGUUUAUGAUCUUUGCCAAGUUCAUAAACUCUUCAAAGUUAUAUUUUUGAAAAUGCCAUAUUGAACACAAAUUGGCAUUCCCAGGGAAGCAAACCUGGAACAGGCUGUGAAGAUUAAAUUCUCCCUUUCCCUGGAGGAAUUUUAUACUAGGCAGUACCUCAGGAUCUUGCCCUAAUGCUCUAUCUCAGUGGUCUGUCUUGAUCUCUGGGACUGUCAUUUUUCACCAGUUCUAAACCAAUUUUAACAUAUCUUAGGAAUAAUAUAUGUGGUGGGUUACUGCCUGACUUCCCUGGGCAAGGGGUUGACAGGCAAGGGAGAAAGAGCCAACAGAAGGGUAGAGGAUAACAUGAGAGAUGUUGUGGUUUGACAGAGGUUGCCACAGGAGAAAUUUAGGAAAAUAUUGCUACAUUUGUUCUCAUUUGUCAGAGUGACUUUGAAGACCACUUGAUCUGGUUUUAAUCCAUUGAUAUCUCUUGUAUUCAAAACCAGGCAUCUGAAAUGCAGAUCAGAAGAGGUUCACGACCAGUACUGUGAAGAAAGUCUGUUGAGUAUGUGAUACCUGAUGCAAUUUUGGAUCCACGAUCCUGGCUCUACAUCAGCAUUACAAUGACAAAUUUUUUGCUAUGCAAUGGAAACUUGUUGCAUUUCAUCAAGAAUAGGAUGGCACACAUCCAUUUCUCUCUCUCUCUUGACCUGAAACCCAAUUAUAUGUUUUAUCAUGUUCUUAAUAUGUCAUGUGUUUUGACAGUCACAAUAAACAUCUCAGGAUAAUACAGGAAUUUUCACAA